AUUUCAUACCCGAAUUCCGAAACCUCACCCAAACAUUCAAUGGAUUUUACCCAAACAUCCCACCUCAAACGACCCAUAUAAUAUAAUCAACAAGAUUACUAGACUUAAGAGAAAGAGCAAAAGAGAGCAAUGAGUAUAGAAAAAUCAGUUGCAGCAGAUGAAUAUCACUCCAAAGACUUCGAUUGGGAAGACUUGAGACGAGAUAUUGAAUCCGACCCUUCAUUCUCCUUCCAUCUUUCUCCAUUUCUGCAAUCUUCUUCUCCAUCUUCAGAUUCUCAAGCAUGGUCUCAUUUCCAUUCUCGUCAUUCCACUGGCAAAUUCUUCAAGGAAAGACGGUAUUUACUUAAGGAAUUUCCUGACCUUCUUUCUUGUGAUGAUUAUUCCAAAGUUUUGGAGGUUGGCUGUGGUAAUGGAAGUACUGUUCUUCCUAUUUUGCGUGCAAAGGAGAAGACCAGUGUUUAUGCCUGUGAUUGUAGUGUUGAGGCACUUGAGAGAGCUAUGCAGAAUAUUGCUGAUGCCGAUAUUGAAAAUGUCAUAUAUCGCUACCAUCAAUUCUGCUGCGAUUUCUCUGUAGCUCAGUUUCCGAAGUGGUUGGCGUGUGAUUUAUGUCGGACCAAGCGGGUAGAAAAGUCGUUACCUUACUACACAUGCAUAAAAUAUGAAGUCAAUGAGAGUGAAGGAACACUAACUAGUUCGCCUCCCAACAAAGAUGGUCGGUGUUGCCUUGGUGGAGUGGACUUUUUGACAUUGAUAUUUACACUAUCCGCUGUUUCACCCGAGAGGAUGAUGACUGCAGUCAGGGAAUGCUUUUCUGUAUUAAAGCCAGGCGGCCUGCUCCUUUUCAGAGAUUAUGGUCUUUAUGACAUGACCAUGCUUAGAUUUGAACCGGAGAAAAGAGUGGGUUUUAGGCAUUAUAUGCGUGCGGAUGGAACGCUCUCUUACUUCUUUGAUUUGGUUUGUGCGAGGGAUCUUUUUGUUGGUGUUGGCUUCAUUGAGCUUGAACUAGAAUAUUGUUGCGUCAAAUCGGUGAAUCGACGAAAAGGAAAGAGCAUGAGAAGAGUAUGGGUUCAUGGAAAGUUUCAAAAGCCUUCUUAAUUUUCGAUGAUUUUACGACACACGUCUUUUUCUGACUGUUCGUUUUGUGAUAAUAGCAAUGUGGUUUAAAAAUGACGAUAAUGAAAACAAUUUUCCAUCGCCUCUAAUGUGGCCUCCGCCAGGCGCCAGGGCCGCCUAUCGUUGAAAGGUAUUGUAGGACAGUUCGACUUUUUACUUGCUACCUAUUAGUGGCUUAAACUGUUGCGGAAAUGUUGAUGGAGAAAGUUUCAAGUAUCGUUUUCUUUAAAAGUAAUGCUAUCGGAAACCAGAGAAAGUAAACUGAGGCGUUUGCUGCUUUACUUGUAUAGUGAGUUUUUGAUCCCAUGAGAAGACCUAUACUUCUGUCAUCUAUGCCUUAUUCAAAAUCAAUUUGAUUGACAUAAAUUUAGUGUUUAGUGAUAUUGAACCAUAGAUAAUGUUCAUUAGCCUAAAAAAUUUAGUAUUUUUUCGAGUUUUGAGUUUCGAGUUUAUCUGAAAUUGUGCUAUAGUCAAAAACAUCGCUCGACUCCGCAUUCUUGCAAUCUUAAGUUAAAUCGAUAUAUGCAUUUUUCA
Molecule: RNA transcript, 1647 nt
Organism: Amaranthus tricolor (Joseph's coat)
Lineage: Eukaryota; Viridiplantae; Streptophyta; Magnoliopsida; Caryophyllales; Amaranthaceae
Exons: 8
Source: RefSeq, a predicted model, not a curated record